Molecule: long non-coding RNA, 1012 nt
Filed under: Homo sapiens (human)
Lineage: Eukaryota; Metazoa; Chordata; Mammalia; Primates; Hominidae
Description: HSALNT0029303
Source: RNAcentral
AAAAUGGGCUCAUGGGUGAGGUCUCCUGAAACUUCUAGCUUCUCCUGGGAGACCAGGGAGGGCAGAGAUUUUAAAGUUUAAAAGGGUCCACAUGUUCCUCAGUCUGAGAACCAGGCAGUCCUACGGAGAGGCCAGGGCUCAGCACUCACUCACUUCUUCAAUGCCACCUUCCAUACCCACUGUUUAAGAAGUCACCACCUUGGGCCUGAGCUGGGGGUGCUGUAGAGUGGAGCAGGGGCAAGCUGAGGGGGACAGAGGUCUAGCGGCAAUUCUGGUGGAGAGUAAGCUCAACCUCUGGACAACCCAAAGACAUUUCCUCCAUGUGCCUUCCUCCAAUGCCACUUUUUAUUUUCUGAAUUGUCUGCAAGGAGAGUGAGAUGUUGGGCACUGCAGCCAGAAAGACCUUGUCCUCUGCCUGGGACAGAGGGAAGGACGGGCCAGAACCAACAUCCUUGUCAGGGAGACUCAGGGCAACUGGGACCGAAGAGCUUCAGGGUUCAGCGUCCCCACCGGCUGGCCCCUCCACCAAGCAGGUUUGCAGGAAGACAGCAUGACGCAGGAGGAACACAGUCACCUUAAAAGGCACCUGUUGACUCCCUAAGGUGUACUCUAGAGACACUGAGAUGCGUCGAUCUUAAGUGUAAAACUCACUGAGUUUUGACAGACGUGUACACCCAUGCAACCACAAUUCCAAUCAAGAUAUAGCAUAUUUGCUUCACUCCACUAGGUUGCCUUUUUACCUUCUUCAUCAAUCUCCAACCCCACCCUGAGGCAACCAACGUUCUGAUUUCUAUCAUCACAGAUCCUUUUUGGAAUCAUCUCAUAUGCACUCUUUUGUGUUGGCUUCUUUCUUCCACACAGUGUUGACAUUUGUCCAUGUUGCAUUGUUUGUUCAUUUUUAUUGUUCAGUAGUGUUCCAUUGUAUGAAGAAACCACAAUGUAUUUAUCUACUUAUCUACCUGUUCAUGGUCAUGUGGGUAAUUUCCAAUUUUUGCUAAUAAAGGAAUAAAAC